GUCUCAAGCGGCAUGCAAUACUGCAUUUUUCAUCUUGAUUAUCCAAAUUCCGGAUCAAAUAACUCAGCGAUAACCAUCGUUAACAGAAGAAGGACAAAGGCAGAGUCAUCUUCAACCAAUCAUGAACAUUACUGUGCUGGUGGAGAAGCCUGAAGGAGGAAGACACCACACGCCUGGCUCUGUCAUUGGCACUGAGCUGGACAGCCUGAUAUCUGUGGCAGAGCAAAGGACACGGAGGAGGCUCCUUUCCAUCAUGGACAACCAGCAUCAUCCAAUUCACAACAUCAUCUCGCAACAGAAGAGCAGUUUCAAUGGCAGAUUACCAUCACUGCCUUGCUCCACCGAAGCAUUGAGCAGAUCAUUCCUCCUCCACGCCAUUCAGCUUUUCAACACAGCAGAGGGGGAGCGAUAAAAAGAUACACAA
This is a long non-coding RNA of Doryrhamphus excisus (bluestripe pipefish), 424 nucleotides long. RefSeq lists it as uncharacterized. The record is from RefSeq and is a predicted model, not a curated record. NCBI's taxonomy places the organism in Eukaryota, Metazoa, Chordata, Actinopteri, Syngnathiformes, Syngnathidae.